GCGAGUGUGGGUAAUAUGAACAUAUCCACAAUGUCAGCCAUCUUAUCCACGUCAGAAGGCACUAUGAAAACUACACGAAAAGUAACGAAAAGGUCAACUCUCAAGGCAUAUCAAAGUAACAACAGCGGGGCCACACUUAGCAUAACUAGUAACACCAGUAUUGUUGAUGGCGAUGCAGAGAAUAGUGCCACAAGGCAUAAAGCAAGUAAGAAGGAAUCUUCGGCAAGAGAAAAUGUAGAAGAACAGAGUCAGCUAAAUGAGAAUGUCUCUUCUACAGAAGAUGUGCAAAAGAUAUUAAAUAGCGAUUGCAAAAAAAAAUUAAAAAGCAAACAAAAGAAAAGUGAAACCAAUAAACAGAAUGUAUCGGUGAAUUCGAACUUAAAUAAAUUUGAUGCUCUACAAAAACGCAACUUAAUUCAUGUACGUUCAAGCGAUCCUUGUAAAGCACAGGAAAAGUUCAGUAAACUACAAGGGUAUAAGGAAAUUAAUUGCCGUUUAUGCACUAAGCCUGUGUAUAAAAUGGAGGAAAUUAUGGCUGAAAAAAAAAUUUAUCAUAAGAAUUGCUUCCGCUGCCAUGAAUGUAAUAAGCAAUUGAAAGUGGACAACUAUUUAAGCCAUGAAGGCAUACUGUAUUGUAUGGUACACUUUAAAUUGUUAUUUAGCCCAAAAUGCGUUGAAGACUCAGAACCAGAUAUUCCACGUAAGCCAGAAAUGAUUGUUAGAGAAAAUCACCCGAAUGAGUUACCCUCAGAUGUUAUAAGAGCAUCUGACAAGCCUGACCUCGGGUUGGAAGAGCUGCAACAGCUAAACGUACGAUCCAUAUUUCAAGUAUUUGAAAACGCAAUGAAAAUCCAAGAAGAAGAGCAUACUGAGCAGUCUCAACGAAAUGCCGUUAAGACUUCAAUAUUAUCGAAAAUAGCUAAACUGAAAGAACAGGGAAUUACUUCUGAUCUGAGCUUAAAGGACUAUAACGAUAGGAAAAAACAGAGUGGAAGUGAUGACUAUUCAUCUGAUAGUAACAAUGAUACGAGCCACGAUAAUAAAGAAAGCAUCGAAGACCGAGAUUCUGAUCGGGUGCACUCAGAGAAGAGCACCCAAAGGGAACGUCCGGUUGGACUUGGACAUGCAAUGCAUGAAAUUACGACGAAGUUCGAAAAUGAUCAAGUAAUGCCCAAGGAAGAACGACGUGAGGAACGUAAACAGGAAAUUCAAAAUAUACGUUCUCGCUUGUUUAUGGGAAAGCAGGCCCGUAUUAAGGAAAUGUAUCAACAAGCUGUUGCCGAAUCAGGACAUGGAACUACUUCGUCUGAUAAAAAGCCAGAGAUUGAAAUAGAAGGAGCCGCACGUUCACUUAAGGAACGUUUCGAAAGCGGCGAAGCAUUUAGGGACACCCAAGAUUUCAGUGCGGAAAAUGUCAGUUCUAAUGCUGUCUUGAAGAGCGAGGCUGACGUUUUCGAGUCCGCAAUGAGUAAGAAAUCACGGAGUAUUUUUAUGCAACUAGAUGCUCAAAAUGUAGCUGAUAGAAAACAAAUUAUGUCACCAAAGUUGCCGAAUUCACAAUUGACCAAACAACAUUCGAGUAGAACUAAUCGACAAAAUAGUGAAAAUGAACCAGAGAUUGUCGUCAAAUAUCACGAAAAGCCGGAGGAUAUAGAAACCGCGGUAUCCGAUAUUAGUUCGAAAUUUAAGUUUUUCGAAACAUAUCGUCCCCCAGUACAAAUAAGAAAGCAAUUUCGUAUUACUCCGCCAAGGGAAGAGGUUUUAAAAAUGCCAUCGUCAGAGUUUAAAACUGAAGCUUCUAAGAAUGCAGGCGAACUUGACAAAGAAGCUGAUGUUCUUGAGAAGUCACAUACUACUGCCAUAAUGUUGAGCAAGUUUCGCGAAAUAGAACAAAAUCGUGAUGAUCUACAAUCUAGCCCCCGGCCAUUAAAAUGUUUUACGCCGCCUCCAGAUGGUGGCAACCGCUUCUAUCAGGAUGUAGACAGCAGUGAUCUGGAAUCACAGGAUGAAAAUGAAGAAUUCGAAGAUGAUAAUAAAGAAGCUAAUUACGACUCAUCGGGUGAGCGUUAUAAGCGCCAAAUUGAUGACGAAGCUCUUAAGGAGCAUACGAGAACGAUUUGAAAACAUGAAAGAUUCUUCGCUGAACACUGAAGCAACCAGACCACGGUAUAAAGUUAACCGUUUUGUGUAAUGAUUCAAAGCGCAGUCAACUUGUUAAUCAAUCAUCUUUUGGAAUAUAUUGUAGUAAAUAUUGGUGAUGAAGUAAGUCCAGCGAUUUUAAUUCAAUAUUUAAAACAGUUACCGAUCAAUAAACAAAAAUUGUAUGCAAAUAAAA
Molecule: unclassified non-coding RNA, 2335 nt
Filed under: Ceratitis capitata (Mediterranean fruit fly)
Lineage: Eukaryota; Metazoa; Arthropoda; Insecta; Diptera; Tephritidae
Description: lIM domain and actin-binding protein 1, transcript variant X11
Source: RNAcentral